GACGAACGCUGGCGGCGUGCUUAACACAUGCAAGUCGAACGAUGAAGCCUAGCUUGCUAGGUGGAUUAGUGGCGAACGGGUGAGUAAUACGUGAGUAACCUACCUUUAACUCUGGGAUAAGCCUGGGAAACUGGGUCUAAUACCGGAUACGACCAAUCUCCGCAUGGGGUGUUGGUGGAAAGCGUUAUGUAGUGGUUAUAGAUGGGCUCACGGCCUAUCAGCUUGUUGGUGAGGUAAAGGCUCACCAAGGCGACGACGGGUAGCCGGCCUGAGAGGGUGACCGGCCACACUGGGACUGAGACACGGCCCAGACUCCUACGGGAGGCAGCAGUGGGGAAUAUUGCACAAUGGGCGCAAGCCUGAUGCAGCGACGCCGCGUGAGGGAUGACGGCCUUCGGGUUGUAAACCUCUGUUAGCAGGGAAGAAGAGAGAUUGACGGUACCUGCAGAGAAAGCGCCGGCUAACUACGUGCCAGCAGCCGCGGUAAUACGUAGGGCGCGAGCGUUGUCCGGAAUUAUUGGGCGUAAAGAGCUUGAGGCGGUUUGUCGCGUCUGCUGUGAAAGGCCGGAGCUUAACUCCGUGUAUUGCAGUGGGUACGGGCAGACUAGAGUGCAGUAGGGGAGACUGGAAUUCCUGGUGUAGCGGUGGAAUGCGCAGAUAUCAGGAGGAACACCGAUGGCGAAGGCAGGUCUCUGGGCUGUAACUGACGCUGAGAAGCGAAAGCAUGGGGAGCGAACAGGAUUAGAUACCCUGGUAGUCCAUGCCGUAAACGUUGGGCACUAGGUGUGGGGAACAUUCCACGUUUUCCGCGCCGUAGCUAACGCAUUAAGUGCCCCGCCUGGGGAGUACGGCCGCAAGGCUAAAACUCAAAUAAAUUGACGGGGGCCCGCACAAGCGGCGGAGCAUGCGGAUUAAUUCGAUGCAACGCGAAUAACCUUACCAAGGCUUGACAUAUACUGGACCGCAUCAGAGAUGGUGUUUCCCUUCGGGGCUGGUAUACAGGUGGUGCAUGGUUGUCGUCAGCUCGUGUCGUGAGAUGUUGGGUUAAGUCCCGCAACGAGCGCAACCCUCGUUCUAUGUUGCCAGCACGUUAUGGUGGGGACUCAUAGGAGACUGCCGGGGUCAACUCGGAGGAAGGUGGGGAUGACGUCAAAUCAUCAUGCCCCUUAUGUCUUGGGCUUCACGCAUGCUACAAUGGCCGGUACAGAGGGUUGCGAUACUGUGAGGUGGAGCUAAUCCCUAAAAGCCGGUCUCAGUUCGGAUUGGGGUCUGCAACUCGACCCCAUGAAGUCGGAGUCGCUAGUAAUCGCAGAUCAGCAACGCUGCGGUGAAUACGUUCCCGGGCCU
This 1347-nucleotide ribosomal RNA is filed under the name uncultured bacterium. Its description in RNAcentral is "bacterial SSU rRNA". It matches the Rfam family "Bacterial small subunit ribosomal RNA", at positions 28 to 1381 of the family's 1533-position model. The record is from RNAcentral.